This 402-nucleotide RNase P RNA is filed under the name Streptomyces hoynatensis. RNAcentral's name for it is "Bacterial RNase P class A". It matches the Rfam family "Bacterial RNase P class A". Rfam says of the family: Ribonuclease P (RNase P) is a ubiquitous endoribonuclease, found in archaea, bacteria and eukarya as well as chloroplasts and mitochondria. Lineage: Bacteria; Bacillati; Actinomycetota; Actinomycetes; Kitasatosporales; Streptomycetaceae. The record is from Rfam by way of RNAcentral.
CGAGCCGAGUGGACGGCCGCGACGGGACCCAGGUCCCGCCGAGGAACGUCCGGACUCCACAGGGCAGGGUGGUGGGUAACGCCCACCCGGGGUGACCCGCGGGAAAGUGCCACAGAAAGCAGACCGCCGGGGGCCGCGAGGCCGCCGGUAAGGGUGAAACGGUGGUGUAAGAGACCACCAGUGCCCAGGGUGACCUGGGCAGCUCGGUAAACCCCACCCGGAGCAAGGUCAAGAGGGGCCGCCGCCAGGCGGCCCUGCGCGGACGUUCGAGGGCUGCCCGCCCGAGUCCGCGGGUGGACCGCACGAGGCCGGUGGUGACAUCGGUCCCAGAUGGAUGGCCGUCUCCCGGUCGGCCGCGAGGCCGGCCGGCGACAGAAUCCGGCGUACAGCUCGACUCGUCUG